UACGUAGGGUCCGAGCGUUGUCCAGAAUUAUUGGGCGUAAAGGGCUCGUAGGCGGUUCGUCACGUCAGGAGUGAAAACUCGGAGCUUAACCCCGAGCCUGCUUCCGAUACGGGCAGACUAGAGGUAGGCAGAAGAGAGCGGAACUCCUGGUGUAGCGGUGGAAUGCGCAGAUAUCAGGAAGAACACCGGUGGCGAAGGCGGCUCUCUGGGCCUUACCUGACGCUGAGGAGCGAAAGCGUGGGUAGCGAACAGG
RNAcentral lists this ribosomal RNA (253 nucleotides) under uncultured bacterium. Its description in RNAcentral is "partial 16S ribosomal RNA". It matches the Rfam family "Bacterial small subunit ribosomal RNA", at positions 524 to 776 of the family's 1533-position model. The record is from RNAcentral.